This is a non-coding RNA of Pelobates cultripes (western spadefoot toad), 204 nucleotides long. The record is from the annotation of a GenBank genome assembly. Lineage: Eukaryota; Metazoa; Chordata; Amphibia; Anura; Pelobatidae.
GGUGUCCCCUGUGUCCCCAGACCUGGUGCAAACCCUUUGUGCCUGCCUGGCUAUUUCACACUUGGUUCAGUAAAUGGGGCUUACUGAACCAAGUACCACACAGGCAGACCACCCAGAAGUGGAAGUGUGCAGGCAAUUUACCUCCCAGAAGCUGCGGUUAACCGCAACCUAAUUGACAAUGCUGGGAGGUCUUUGUUCGUUUGC